This 302-nucleotide long non-coding RNA is filed under the name Rhinopithecus bieti (black snub-nosed monkey). RNAcentral describes it as "lncRNA (ENSRBIG00000046501.1)". The record is from RNAcentral. Lineage: Eukaryota; Metazoa; Chordata; Mammalia; Primates; Cercopithecidae.
AAUAUAGAAUACCUACGCUCCUGCUGAAAAUUUGCAUGACUGGAGUAGAAACUGACUGCAGUAGUAAAGAUAGUGUUGAAAAAGACACACAGAAUGAGAUCUGAUGAACUGUGCUUUGUACAGAAAAUGGGUAAAAGUGAAGAAGUCUUUAAGAAGUCUUGGAAAGCAAUCAUCAUCUCUCUGUUGAGUCUGCUCGGAUGUCUCACAAUGUGAUAAAAAGUGAUAUAAUUUCUGGAUACUCCUGAUAGCUACCUGCAUAGGCAGUGAUCUCCAGGGCAAGGGUCAGGAGGAAUGGAGAGGUA